RNAcentral lists this ribosomal RNA (389 nucleotides) under uncultured soil bacterium. RNAcentral's name for it is "bacterial SSU rRNA". It matches the Rfam family "Bacterial small subunit ribosomal RNA", at positions 26 to 412 of the family's 1533-position model. The record is from RNAcentral.
AGGACGAACGCUGGCGGCGUGCUUAACACAUGCAAGUCGAGCGGUAAGGCCUUUCGGGGUACACGAGCGGCGAACGGGUGAGUAACACGUGGGUGAUCUGCCCUGCACUCUGGGAUAAGCCUGGGAAACUGGGUCUAAUACCGGAUAUGACCUGCUCUCGCAGUGGGGGGUGGGUGGAAAGAUUUAUCGGGUGCAGGAUCGGGCCCGCGGCCUAUCAGUCUUUGGUUGGGUGGGGUAAUCGGCCUACCAAGGCGACGACGGGUAGCCGACCUGAGAGGGUGACCGGCCACACUGGGACUGAGACACGGCCAGACUCCUACGGGAGCAGCAGUGGGAAUAUUGCACAAUGGGACGAAAGCCUGAUGCAGCGACGCCGCGUGAGGAUGGAA